GAGAGAGACAAGUAGAGAGAGAGAGAUACAGAGAGAGACCGGUGGAGAGAGAGAGCGAUACAGAGAGAGACAGGUAGAGAGAGAGAGAGAGAGAAUGAGAUACAGAGAGGGACAGGUAGAGAGAGAGAUACAGAGGGAGACAGGUAGAGAGAGAGAGAGAGAGAAUGAGAUACAGAGAGGGACAGGUAGAGAGAGAGAGAGAGACAAACAAGUAGAGAGAGAGAGAUACAGAGAGAGACCGGUGGAGAGAGAGAGAGAGAGCGAUACAGAGAGAGACAGGUAGAGAGAGAGAGAGAGAGAGAGAGAAUGAGAUACAGAGAGGGACAGGUAGAGAGAGAGAGAGAGAGAGAGAGAGAGAGACAAGUAGAGAGAGAGAGAUACAGAGAGAGACCGGUGGAGAGAGAGAGAGAGCGAUACAGAGAGGGACAGGUAGAGAGAGAGAGAGAGAUACAGAGGGAGACAGGUGGAGAGAGAGAGACAUGGAGAGAAAGACAGAUGCAGAGAUACACAGAGAGAUGGACAGAAAGAUAGAUACAGAAAAAGAGAGGCAGGUACUGUAGAUAAAUACAGAGAGAGACCGGUAGAGAGAGAGAGAUAGAGAUAGAGAGAGAGAUACAGGUAGAGACUGAAAGACAGACGGAGGGAGAGAGACCGAGGCCGUGGAUGUCUGAAUUGUCAGUAGGUGAGAAAAGCCGGAUGGUGUACUGCUUCCGGCGGGAUUUUGCAGCGUGCAACCGACGGACACUGGACACUGCACGAGUCAAAAAUCCCACCGGUGCGGACGAGCUCAGGAAAUAAAUGUCGGAGGACAGCGUCGGCUCUUUAAGUAUUAAACCUCGGUUAAACGGGAAUUAUUUAACAAUACCCGAAUACAUCAUCGACUUAUUGAAGGGUUAAAGAAGUAAACGUUAAAAUCUUUUUUGUGAUCUCCAUCA
Molecule: long non-coding RNA, 935 nt
Organism: Ictalurus punctatus (channel catfish)
Lineage: Eukaryota; Metazoa; Chordata; Actinopteri; Siluriformes; Ictaluridae
Source: Ensembl